This 417-nucleotide small RNA is filed under the name Drosophila pseudoobscura pseudoobscura. Its description in RNAcentral is "GA31417". The record is from RNAcentral. Lineage: Eukaryota; Metazoa; Arthropoda; Insecta; Diptera; Drosophilidae.
UUCAGUUGAAGUCGCAUAUUUGAAAUUUAGAGAAAAAAACACACAAAGCUCUCCAUGACUGAAAUCUAUUUAUAACAAUUCGAAUUGCUGUACUGGAGAAGAACAUAGAUCUUAUUGUUCCCUAAAUUUAUUUGGAUAAACUCCAGGCUGAGAAAAUGGAGUCCCUGCUGUAUGACAUUUCCGCGCACAAAAUGCUCGAAAAAUUGAGGUUAACUAAAAAAGAUGAUUAAAUGGCGAAAAGGCCACGUGACUGACGAUGGUGGCAAAAUGGAGUCCAUGGAACGUUUGCGCUUGCUCCGUGGCAUUGCUUUGAUUUUGUCAAAAUCAAAUGCAUAUCAAGCGUACAUUCAUAAAUAUAUAUUUAUUGUGUGGGAAGUGGAUUGCUCGUCGAUAUUUUAAUAUAUUUAUGUAUUUUCU